Molecule: long non-coding RNA, 1140 nt
Organism: Zingiber officinale
Lineage: Eukaryota; Viridiplantae; Streptophyta; Magnoliopsida; Zingiberales; Zingiberaceae
Exons: 2
Source: RefSeq, a predicted model, not a curated record
UCAUGAUAUAUUCCCAUGAACGCUUCCUCCAAGGAUCAUCAAAUCUCAUAUUUCCCAUUCGUUUCCAUCGAUCAGAUCUCGGAACCAGGUACCGCCUCAUCUCCGCAUCGUUUUUGUUUCUUCGGUCUGCCCUCGAUUUCCGUGGCAAUUUGCUUGGAUUCGAUGUUGGAAUCCGUUUCUGUUGUCGUUCCCUUUGUUUGAUGAUCGACUUCGGUCUCAGUUCCUCGGAACCUAUCCUGGUUUGGGGAUCUGAUUUGUCGCUGUAGUGUUUGGGGUGGGUCUGAUCCUGUUCAUCGUGUAAGGAGGCCGAGGCGGGGACGGAGAUUACGCAAUCGAGUUGACCACGAGUACGAUUACCUCUUCAAAAUCUUCCUGGCCGGGGAUUCCGGCGUUGGGAACCUUGGAUUCCAAGUCCACCAUUGGUGUCGAGCUCGCCACCAAGACCAUUCAGGUCAGUGGCGGAUCUAGGAAUUGAAGCAUGGAGAGACGAUUUUUAGAUGGAACAAGGGGAGGUAUCUUCUAUCUCCACCGGUAAAAUCUCAUACUACUAGGGGUUCCAUUACCGGCAAAGAGGGGCGACCGCCGAUGUCGCCCCCCCUCUGGAUCCACCCCUGAUUCAGAUAAGGUUUGGCAAAAGGUGAAAUCGUUCGCCCCUAGUGUUUUCGUCGCAUCCAACCCAAGACGAUCAUGAGGGAUGAGGGAGGUAAAUCACGACAUAUUUAGAUAAGGUUGUGUUUAUUACUUGAGGAGAUAGACAUGCAAUUACUUGCCAUACCAUUUGUAUCAAAGGUCAAUGCAAUAAAUCAGUUUCUAUAAAGGUUAUAUAAUAUUAGUACUAAGUGAUGUUCAUUUUCUUUUUCAAUUUUAAUUGGACUUCUGGAUUUAUAUUCCAUCAGCAACUUAAAUGGAAUGUACAGAUAGAAGGGAAGACAGUAGCACAGCUUUGGGACACGGCAGGGAAAGAAAGGUGCCUUGCCAUAACUAAUGCAUACUAUAGCGUUGCAGUGGGAGCCCUUCUAAUCUUGGAAAUAAGAAGCAAACAUUUGAUAAUGUGCAGAGGUGGCAAAUUGUCAGCUUAACAUUUCGUUUAUGUAAAUUAUGCUUUUUGGAAUAAAAUUUCUGAUGGAAAGUGAACUCAAA